Molecule: ribosomal RNA, 485 nt
Filed under: uncultured bacterium
Lineage: Bacteria
Description: partial 16S ribosomal RNA
Rfam family: Bacterial small subunit ribosomal RNA
Source: RNAcentral
AUUGAACGCUGGCGGCAGGCUUAACACAUGCAAGUCGAGCGGGGAAAGGUAGCUUGCUACCUGACCUAGCGGCGGACGGGUGAGUAAUGCUUAGGAAUCUGCCUAUUAGUGGGGGACAACAUCCCGAAAGGGAUGCUAAUACCGCAUACGUCCUACGGGAGAAAGCAGGGGACCUUCGGGCCUUGCGCUAAUAGAGGAGCCUAAGUCGGAUUAGCUAGUUGGUGGGGUAAAGGCCUACCAAGGCGACGAUCUGUAGCGGGUCUGAGAGGAUGAUCCGCCACACUGGGACUGAGACACGGCCCAGACUCCUACGGGAGGCAGCAGUGGGGAAUAUUGGACAAUGGGGGGAACCCUGAUCCAGCCAUGCCGCGUGUGUGAAGAAGGCCUUUUGGUUGUAAAGCACUUUAAGCGAGGAGGAGGCUACCGAGAUUAAUACUCUUGGAUAGUGGACGUUACUCGCAGAAUAAGCACCGGCUAACUCUGUG